CUACGGGUGGCACCAGUGAGGAAUAUUGCACAAUGGGGGGAACCCUGAUGCAGCAACGCCGCGUGGAGGAUGACGCAUUUCGGUGUGUAAACUCCUUUUAUAUGUCAAGAAAAUGACGGUAGCAUAUGAAUAAGCACCGGCUAACUCCGUGCCAGCAGCCGCGGUAAUACGGAGGGUGCAAGCGUUAUUCGGAAUCACUGGGCGUAAAGGACGCGUAGGCGGGUUGUCAAGUCAGGUGUGAAAUCCUACAGCUUAACUGUAGAACUGCACUUGAAACUGGCAACCUAGAGUAUGGGAGGGGGAGAUGGAAUUAGUGGUGUAGGGGUAAAAUCCGUAGAUAUCACUAGGAAUACCGAAAGCGAAGGCGAUCUCCUGGAACAUUACUGACGCUAAGGCGUGAAAGCGUGGGGAGCAAACAGGAUUAGAUACCCGGGUAGUC
This 439-nucleotide ribosomal RNA is filed under the name uncultured bacterium. RNAcentral's name for it is "partial 16S ribosomal RNA". It matches the Rfam family "Bacterial small subunit ribosomal RNA", at positions 339 to 795 of the family's 1533-position model. The record is from RNAcentral.